AGAGUUUGAUCCUGGCUCAGGAUGAACGCUGGCGGUCUGCUUAACACAUGCAAGUCGAACGCACCUUUCGGGGUGAGUGGCGGACGGGUGAGUAACGCGUGAGAAUCUGCCUAGAGGUCGGGGACAACCACUGGAAACGGUGGCUAAUACCGGAUGAGCCGAAAAGUAAAAAGGGAAACCUGCCUUUUGAAGAGCUCGCGUCUGAUUAGCUAGUUGGUGAGGUAAGAGCUCACCAAGGCAUCGAUCAGUAGCUGGUCUGAGAGGAUGAUCAGCCACACUGGGACUGAGACACGGCCCAGACUCCUACGGGAGGCAGCAGUGGGGAAUUUUCCGCAAUGGGCGAAAGCCUGACGGAGCAAGACCGCGUGAGGGAGGAAGGCUCUUGGGUUGUAAACCUCUUUUGUCAGGGAAGAACACAAUGACGGUACCUGAAGAAUCAGCAUCGGCUAACUCCGUGCCAGCAGCCGCGGUAAUACGGGGGAUGCAAGCGUUAUCCGGAAUUAUUGGGCGUAAAGCGUCCGCAGGUGGCUAAUCAAGUCUGCUGUCAAAGGUUGGGGCUUAACCCCAAAAAGGCAGUGGAAACUGAGAAGCUAGAGUGCAGUAGGGGUAGAGGGAAUUCCCGGUGUAGCGGUGAAAUGCGUAGAGAUCGGGAAGAACAUCGGUGGCGAAAGCGCUCUACUGGACUGCAACUGACACUCAGGGACGAAAGCUAGGGGAGCGAAUGGGAUUAGAUACCCCAGUAGUCC
RNAcentral lists this ribosomal RNA (746 nucleotides) under uncultured cyanobacterium. RNAcentral's name for it is "bacterial SSU rRNA". It matches the Rfam family "Bacterial small subunit ribosomal RNA", at positions 8 to 796 of the family's 1533-position model. The record is from RNAcentral. Lineage: Bacteria; Bacillati; Cyanobacteriota.